UACAAAUGGACAUAUUAAGGUGUCGCAGAUGAUGCAGUGCAAGCUGUAUUCCAUUAUCCAUUAAGUCCCUUGGGUUCACAAUAGCAUUUUUGGAACAUUACUAAUUUGUCACAUCUCACAGAAAGUAGUCUGUAAAGUCAAUAAACAGUGCUGAAUGUAGAUCAUUGAUUGCAUCUCUUAUUCACAUUGAACCAAGUUGUCCUAAACAAGUUGUCCCUGAAAGUCAACUGACCCUUUCCAGCUAAACGAGAACAUCUGUUGGCAAUACUCUGGGUGUGGGGUGCUGUGGUCUGGUUGUAAUUCAGAGGAAUCUAUUUAACAUCUUGAGACUGCACAUGACACAGAAGACCAUGCCAGUUUAGUCUUGAGGGUAAGAUUGGAUUGACAACAUAGAAAAUUUCCAUCGCUCCGUCUACAGCAUAGCCUUGCAGCUUUGGAGAUGUGGAGUGGUUUCAUCAAAGGGAGCUGGAUGGAAUCCAGAUCGGAUAAAUCUGCGCUAAUGUGGGGAACGUGCUUUGUGAUAAGUGUGCUGUGUGGACGCAUUUCAUCAGUCUAAAUGCCUGUCUCCUGUUUUAUCAAUAACGGCCAUAAAACAUACAUUUUAAAGCAUUAGGAAUGAGGUCACUCUAAUGGCAUCACAUAACGUUUUGUAGAUCGAUUACAUUUAUCUGAUUAUUUAAAAAGAAAAGAACCCAAUCACCUGAAAAGAUCACAGUCUUACAAUGAAAUAUUGUGAAUCCCAAUGUGAAUAAUGUAAACUGCUAAUGUAAAUGUGUUACUGGUAACUGUACGGUUGGAAUUCUGAUAAUCUUUUUCUGGGAUAGGUAUCAGUAAGCAACACUGUUCGUCCUACUUAUUUCGACUGCUAGCCUUUCCAGAUCACUUGUUGACAUUGCCCAGAUGGAAAAGGGUGUAGAUCUAGUCUCCUAACUUGGACCUCUGUUGUCCCCUAGUGGUCUUUUAACAGCAAGGUAGUUCUCAGCUGUACAUACAGUGGCUCUCCAAAGUAUUCUCUCCCACCUUGGACGUUUGAACAAUUAAUUGUGUUACAACAUUCAAAUGGAUUUGAUUAGGAGUUGUUGCCAAUGAUCUACACAAAAUAGAUCCAAAAUGUCAAAUUGAAUAUAAAUACAUAGAAAUUAAUCUCAAAUACAAAACAGAAAAUAAUGGAUUACGUAAGUAUUCACCUGCUUUAGUGAAUAUUUGGUUGAGGUUUUUGGCAUCAAUUACAGCCAUUACUCUAUUUUAAUAACUCUACCAAAUUUGAACAUCUGGACUUUCUUCUUUGCAAAACUGUAAAUUCUUCUUUGCAAAACUGCUCAAGCUCUGGGCCAGUCCAGUACAUUAAAAUGUUUGUCACUCCAUUGUGGCUUUGGCUGAAUGUUUGUGGUCAUUGCCCUGCUGGAACAGUCAUUUUCUCCCAAGAUUUAAGUUUCUUUCAGACUUUGUCAUCCAGGAUUUCUCUGUACUUUGAGGCACCCAUUUUGCCCUCUAUCUUCAGAAGUUUUCCAGGCCCAGAGAAGCAUCCCCACAGCAUGAUGCUGCCACCACUAUGCUUCACAGUAGAGGCGGUGUUCCCAGGAUGAUGCACAGUGUUAUGCUUGUGACAAACAAAGUGCUAAAACAAAAAGUUAUAUUUUGGUCUCAUCAGACCAAGGAAUCUUCUUCCACUUGGUUUCAGAAUCUCCCACAUGCUAUGAUUUGAUAUGAGUUUUUUUCAUAAAUGUUUGUAUCUUUCCCAUAACAGCUACUUUUGUAAAGCACCCAGCAUAUAGUUGCUACUUUCGCCCAGAUACUCAGUUUAAGAGGACAACCUUUUCUAGAAAGAUUCACACCUGAGCCAUAUACUUUACUGUGCUCCAUAUGAAUGAUUUGGAAAUGUCCUCAUAUCCUACACCAUUGGUGCUUUCGAAUAACUUUAUUCCAGAAUUGCUUUGAAUGUGCCUUGGUCUUCAUGAAGUACUUUUUGUAAGUAAUUGUUCUAACCAACUGUGGGUCAGAUGUAUAUAACCUAAGUCAUGUGAAACAUGUUUUUUGCACACAGGUAGACAUUCAACUAAUUAGGUGACUGUACAGACAGUGGUUGCACCACUGCAUAUUCCGGUGUUUAAUAAAAAGUUGGGGGAUACAUAUGCAAUCAAUUAUAAAAAAAUAUGAAUUUAAAAUCUGUUUUAUAUUUGAAAUUCAUUUCAAUUCAUUCAAUGAUUUUUCACUUUGACAUCAUGUUUUUUUGUUGUUCAGUGGCAAGACACCUGAUGAAAUCCAUUUUGAUUUCAUGCUGUAUGUAACAAAAUAAAAAGUGCAAAAGUCUAAGGUAGAAGAAUACUUUUAUACGUUAUCAAAGUAGGUGAGUUUUCUAACUCAUCAAUACAUGUUGUACAAUGUAUGCUUAUGUUUAUCAAGGAUCCACAAAUUAUUUUUAAUGUAAUAAAAUCCUUACAAAUCUA
Esox lucius (northern pike) is the source of this 2447-nucleotide long non-coding RNA. RefSeq lists it as uncharacterized. Lineage: Eukaryota; Metazoa; Chordata; Actinopteri; Esociformes; Esocidae. The transcript is spliced from 2 exons. The record is from RefSeq and is a predicted model, not a curated record.